Molecule: long non-coding RNA, 1700 nt
Filed under: Salvia miltiorrhiza (redroot sage)
Lineage: Eukaryota; Viridiplantae; Streptophyta; Magnoliopsida; Lamiales; Lamiaceae
Description: long non-coding RNA (SMIL_LNC000442)
Source: RNAcentral
ACCAGUCGCGUAGCCUCUUUUGCUUUAGUUCUCAUCUCAGCCCUAAUUCGCAAAUUCCUCCAAAAUCCCCAAAUCGCCUCCUACAGCAACGCCGCCCGUCACCGCUCGUCUGCCGGUGAGCACGCCGCCGCCUGCAUCCCCUCGGCCGGCCGUUCCUCCUGCAGCUUCUCCGCCGCCGCCUGCAACCCCUCCGCCGGCCGAACCUGCUCCAGCUUCUCCGCCGCCGACUGCAACCCGCAACCCCUCCGCCGGCCGAACCUCGUCCAGCUUCUCCGCCUCCGCCUGUGCUUUCCCCGCUCCCACCGGUUGCACCUACGCCGGCUCCGGUUGCUUCCUCCGUCAUAGAAAUCAGGUCCGUUUCACAAUUUACUCUUUUCCGCAUUUAAAUCUCAUAAUUCGAGAAAUAAAUGUAAGGCAAUUUUAGAUCUGUAGGGAUUUUCACUGAAAAGCAGGACGCCAUUUCUUCCCGUUGAUUUCUCGCUCCCUGCUGCCUGCUUCGAUCUUGUUAUCCUUAUUCAGGUGUUUCCGCUGCCUAAUCUUCAAUUUGUCUUUGUAAGUUCAAGAAGAAGAACGUCAAAAGUUAAGCUGUAAAUACUGAAAAUGUCCAAAAUUUAGUGGAUAAUCCAGCAGCCUGCUCCAUUGUUUUUUCAGAUAAACUGGUUUUUCUUAGCUCAAUUUUUUUUUUUUAAAACCAACAGAAAAAUGCUUCAGCAGGCUUCUUCAUACGAGCUCAUGUAGUCGAAUUUGUCUUGGUAUUGGAUUCUAUUAUUAUUAUUAUACUGGAGAAAUGAAAUUGUUAUAUUUCCUUGAGGUAUGUGAUUGAUGCAGAUUCCUUAAUACUUUUUUGUUAUCAGUUAAAUAUAUCAAGAUAGUCAUUUUCAUAUUAUAAAGAUUAAAUAGCCAUAGAGAUAAAUGCAGAUUCCUUAAUACUUUUUUGUAUUCCUUUUUAUGUUGGUGGUUAGUAUCUUUUAUUAAUGGGUAUUUUGCUAGUUCAGUCUUUUUAUAAUAAUAAUAAUAAUUAAUCUUAUUGUAGUAAACUGUCUAUUGUUUCACAAACCUAUAUACAUUUCGAAACUUUGAAUCAGAUUGUGUAGAAUCACCAGCGAAAUUGGAAUGUUAUUAUUAAGUUAAAAUAUGGAGUAAUCGAAUACUAGUGCUGUAGACUUAAGUUUUGCUUUGGCAUUUAUAGAUGAAUAAAACAUUGAUGUAUAAUAUGCCAUUUUAGGAUAAUAUUGAAUAUUUUGAAUGGCAAUAAGCAGGCGCAGUUUGAGCAGCCCAUCCCUAUUCCCUACUCCCAUUAUCACGUGAGAUGUUUGAUAAGUCGUGUUUGGUCUCCCAAUAAAUUCUAGUUUGAUAUUUAGUGAUCUUGUUAUCCUUAUUCAGGUGUUUCCGCUGCCUGCUUCGAUCUUGUUAUCCUUAGUAUUAAAAAUGCAAGAUUUGAUAUUUAGUGAUCUGUUUGUAUCGAAUAGUGAUAUUAAGUUGGACUUAAUUUUGCUUCAUUAACACUAAUAUUACUCCAUUAUUUUGCAUAUUAAGUUUGCACGAGUAACUAACUAAUUCAAGAAUUAAUUAAGUUUGCAUAUUUACUUGUACUACUACUAGGAUUUCCUUAAAUUGAUACUUGUAUUUUCAUUACAGAUCAACUUAUAGUUGUGCAGCCGUCAGACUUUGUUGUCAUAUUCACUUGAUUUUGCUGAAAG